Molecule: ribosomal RNA, 254 nt
Filed under: uncultured bacterium
Lineage: Bacteria
Description: partial 16S ribosomal RNA
Rfam family: Bacterial small subunit ribosomal RNA
Source: RNAcentral
CACGUAGGGGGCGAGCGUUGUCCGGAUUUAUUGGGCGUAAAGAGCUCGUAGGCGGCUCAGUAAGUCAGGUGUGAAAACUCCAGGCUCAACCUGGAGACGCCACCUGAUACUGCUGUGGCUAGAGUCCGGUAGGGGAGCAUGGAAUUCCUGGUGUAGCGGUGGAAUGCGCAGAUAUCAGGAGGAACACCAAUAGCGAAGGCAGCUCGCUGGGACGUUACUGACACUGAGGCGCGAAAGCGUGGGGAGCGAACAGG